This is a long non-coding RNA of Columba livia (rock pigeon), 389 nucleotides long. RefSeq lists it as uncharacterized. The record is from RefSeq and is a predicted model, not a curated record. NCBI's taxonomy places the organism in Eukaryota, Metazoa, Chordata, Aves, Columbiformes, Columbidae. The transcript has 2 exons.
GGAAACCGUUCUUAGAUGACUCCUGGCAAAAGAACCCAAAGUACCUGCGCUGAUGGGACGCUCCUGUUUGCGGGCACAGGAGACGGGGCGGACACAGUCCAUGACAAAGACACAGUUAGGAACAUACCAAAGGGGAUUUCUGUACCCCCUGCAUUUUGUUUUCCAUUUUUAGCCCUUACCGAGGCUGUUGUUCUCAAGAUCAAGGUCCCUGAUUAAGUUUCGCAUUGGUUUAGAGCUCCAACACCCUGAGAAUCAGUCACCCCAUCAGGGGGCUGCGGCGCGUGAGGAAGCUGAGGCAGAAGAGCCCUGAAGCACCGCUUGGAAACCUGUUCAGUUACCGGCUCACUAGUUCUGAGUAACUCCAACAAUAAACGGGCACUGAGAAAGGA